UCCUAUGGUCGGGCGUGCAGGAGAACCUUCGGGUUCGCCGUUUACCUUUUGGCGGUACUGUCAAUCCUGUGCGUCCGGCCACCACG
Haematospirillum jordaniae is the source of this 86-nucleotide non-coding RNA. Lineage: Bacteria; Pseudomonadati; Pseudomonadota; Alphaproteobacteria; Rhodospirillales; Novispirillaceae. The record is from Rfam.